GAUAAUUACGUCGGUUCACCCAAACCGACGUUUUAUGUAAAAUUUACGUCGGUCGGUCUGCCCGCCACAAUAUACUAACAUAAUAUGUCGGUUUUUUGGACAUUUCGUCGGUUUAAACCGACGUAAUAUAAUUUUAUUUUAUUUGUAUUUACAUUUUCUACCUCGUCUCUCUUCUCAUCUGGGUCAGAGCUAGCUUGAAAAAUUCGAUGUCUCUCUUCUCUGUUAGCUAGUUUCUCUUCUCCACCACUGCCUUCGAUGGAUCUCACCACCGCACUCGUAUAGAUCUCACCACCGCAUUCGAUGUCUCUCUUCUCGUCUGGCUCGAUCUAGAUCUCUCUUCUUCCAGAAAUCCUUCUCUUUCCAGAAUCUCGAUCUCGACCUCUCUUCGAUUUCUCUUCUUGAUCGUGUCCUCAUCUUGAUCUCUCAGGGCUAUUGACAAUUUCUGGUGGAGAUGGCUUUCUAGACUUAUCUCCAUUUACUUGUUAUCUCUCAUUCAGUUGAUUCUGAUUUCUCUUGUUGGGAUUCUCUUCUCUCCUAAACUUUGCUGGGUGAAACUGAAACAGUCAUGCCAAUUGAUAAGUCAUGGAUUAGCAAACCGCGAAAUACGGUUGAAUAUGCUGAUGGGUUAGCUAAAUUUUUGGACUUCGCGUUCAUGCAUAAGUCCAUUGAGGGUCGUGGGGGCUGUAAAAUUGUGUGUCCAUGUUCAAAUUGUGGUUGCAAGAAGUGGCAAACAAGGGAUGUAGUUCAAGAGCACUUAACUUGUCGGCCUUUCCCUCAAAAUUACAAAUUUUGGAAUUGGCAUGGCGAAGGAUCAAACAUAGUUGAAUCUGGGGCUUCUGAACAAAGACAUGUCAAUGAAGAUAUUUUGCAGCCUCAAGAUCCAAUAGAAAACAUGAUAAAUGAUGCAUUUGGGCAGAAUGUCAAUGAGCUCGGUGAAACUUCUGACCAUUCUGAUGAUGAAUUGGGUGAUGAGACGUGUGAUGGAGAUAAUGCAGAUUUUUAUGAGUUGUUGAAGGACAAUAAUCAACAAUUGUAUGAAGGGUGCAGAAAGUAUUCGAAAUUGUCAUUUCUGAUUAAAUUGUAUCAUAUAAAGUGCUUGUGCAAAAUGAGUGACAAGGCCAUGACCAUGAUAUUGGAAUUGUUAAAAGAUGCGUUUGAAGAUGCAAAGCUUCCUUCUUCAUUUUAUGAGGCCAAGAAAAUCAUCAACAAGCUUGGUCUCAAUUAUACCAAGAUACACGCAUGCCCAU
Lotus japonicus is the source of this 1247-nucleotide long non-coding RNA. RefSeq lists it as uncharacterized. NCBI's taxonomy places the organism in Eukaryota, Viridiplantae, Streptophyta, Magnoliopsida, Fabales, Fabaceae. The transcript has 4 exons. The record is from RefSeq and is a predicted model, not a curated record.